This 450-nucleotide ribosomal RNA is filed under the name uncultured bacterium. RNAcentral's name for it is "partial 16S ribosomal RNA". It matches the Rfam family "Bacterial small subunit ribosomal RNA", at positions 354 to 796 of the family's 1533-position model. The record is from RNAcentral.
GUGGGGAAUUUUGGACAAUGGGCGCAAGCCUGAUCCAGCAAUGCCGCGUGCAGGAAGAAGGCCUUCGGGUUGUAAACUGCUUUUGUACGGAACGAAACGGUCCGGGUUAAUACCCUGGGCUAAUGACGGUACCGUAAGAAUAAGCACCGGCUAACUACGUGCCAGCAGCCGCGGUAAUACGUAGGGUGCAAGCGUUAAUCGGAAUUACUGGGCGUAAAGCGUGCGCAGGCGGAUUUGUAAGACAGGCGUGAAAUCCCCGGGCUCAAGCUGGGAAUUGCGCUUGUGACUGCAAGGCUGGAGUGCGGCAGAGGGGGAUGGAAUUCCGCGUGUAGCAGUGAAAUGCGUAGAUAUGCGGAGGAACACCGAUGGCGAAGGCAAUCCCCUGGGCCUGCACUGACGCUCAUGCACGAAAGCGUGGGGAGCAAACAGGAUUAGAAACCCGUGUAGUCC